UACAAACCAGACUGGCUGGGCUU
RNAcentral lists this non-coding RNA (23 nucleotides) under Mus musculus (house mouse). The record is from RNAcentral. Lineage: Eukaryota; Metazoa; Chordata; Mammalia; Rodentia; Muridae. RNAcentral also lists the same sequence under 1 other name.